CCCCAUGUCGCCCAUACGUACACAACAUAAAUCAAACUUAGAUGAUCUUCAGAGCAGGUUACAAAAGCAAGUUUUGGACAGCAGAAGACAGCAUCUCUCAGAAAAAGUAAAAUACCAACAUAAGCUGUCACAAGUAAUGGAAUUAGGCUAUGUUGAUUCUAGUAUGGAAAAUGAAGACAACAUGGCAAGAGUUUUUAGUGCUUGUCCGUUGUCCUCUGGUUUUCAGUUCUCUAACAGUACACAGCUUUCAGAAGAAAAUUUCAACACAAACCUAAUGGGUGACAUUUGGGAACAGAUCUAUGAAAAGAAACUGCAAAACCAGGUUUGGUUAAUGUUUUACUACCAUGGAAUUACUUUAAACUAACUUUCAUUUAUUUAGUGUGUAAAGCUAGUGUAAUGAUGAUGAUAAUUAUGGUUGAUCAACAUUUUUUGUAGGCUGGUGGCUGUGAAUAUUCUGUAUAUACAAAUAUAUUUAUAUUAUUGUCC
Molecule: long non-coding RNA, 486 nt
Filed under: Chloebia gouldiae (Gouldian finch)
Lineage: Eukaryota; Metazoa; Chordata; Aves; Passeriformes; Passeridae
Description: Erythrura gouldiae (Gouldian finch) lncRNA (ENSEGOG00005004794.1)
Source: RNAcentral